RNAcentral lists this ribosomal RNA (207 nucleotides) under uncultured bacterium. RNAcentral describes it as "partial 16S ribosomal RNA". It matches the Rfam family "Bacterial small subunit ribosomal RNA", at positions 568 to 774 of the family's 1533-position model. The record is from RNAcentral.
UGCGCAGGCGGUUAUGUAAGACAGAUGUGAAAUCCCCGGGCUCAACCUGGGAACUGCAUUUGUGACUGCAUGGCUAGAGUACGGUAGAGGGGGAUGGAAUUCCGCGUGUAGCAGUGAAAUGCGUAGAUAUGCGGAGGAACACCGAUGGCGAAGGCAAUCCCCUGGACCUGUACUGACGCUCAUACACGAAAGCGUGGGGAGCAAACA